This 253-nucleotide ribosomal RNA is filed under the name uncultured bacterium. RNAcentral's name for it is "partial 16S ribosomal RNA". It matches the Rfam family "Bacterial small subunit ribosomal RNA", at positions 524 to 776 of the family's 1533-position model. The record is from RNAcentral.
UACAGAGGGUGCAAGCGUUAAUCGGAUUUACUGGGCGUAAAGCGCGCGUAGGCGGCUAAUUAAGUCAAAUGUGAAAUCCCCGAGCUUAACUUGGGAAUUGCAUUCGAUACUGGUUAGCUAGAGUGUGGGAGAGGAUGGUAGAAUUCCAGGUGUAGCGGUGAAAUGCGUAGAGAUCUGGAGGAAUACCGAUGGCGAAGGCAGCCAUCUGGCCUAACACUGACGCUGAGGUGCGAAAGCGUGGGGAGCGAACAGG